GCUUAGAGCCUACUUCGGUGCCGCAGGGAAGCCGUUAAGCCCGCCGCCUGGGGGCAGUACGGUCGCAAGACUGAAACUCGAAGGAAUUGGCGGGGGAGCACCACAAGCGGGGUGGAACGCGCGGCUCAAUUGGGGUCAACGCCUGGAAUCUUACCGGGGGAGACCGCCAGUAUGACCGCCAGCUUAACGACCUUGC
Molecule: ribosomal RNA, 196 nt
Filed under: uncultured crenarchaeote
Lineage: Archaea; Thermoproteati; Thermoproteota
Description: partial 16S ribosomal RNA
Rfam family: Archaeal small subunit ribosomal RNA
Source: RNAcentral